AUUGAACGCUGGCGGAAUGCUUUACACAUGCAAGUCGAACGGCAGCACGGGGGCAACCCUGGUGGCGAGUGGCGAACGGGUGAGUAAUACAUCGGAACGUGCCCAGUCGUGGGGGAUAACUACGCGAAAGCGUAGCUAAUACCGCAUACGAUCUACGGAUGAAAGCGGGGGAUCGCAAGACCUCGCGCGAUUGGAGCGGCCGAUGGCAGAUUAGGUAGUUGGUGGGGUAAAGGCUCACCAAGCCGACGAUCUGUAGCUGGUCUGAGAGGACGACCAGCCACACUGGGACUGAGACACGGCCCAGACUCCUACGGGAGGCAGCAGUGAGGAAUAUUGGUCAAUGGGCGAGAGCCUGAACCAGCCAAGUCGCGUGAGGGAAGAAU
Molecule: ribosomal RNA, 383 nt
Filed under: uncultured bacterium
Lineage: Bacteria
Description: bacterial SSU rRNA
Rfam family: Bacterial small subunit ribosomal RNA
Source: RNAcentral